RNAcentral lists this ribosomal RNA (2506 nucleotides) under wastewater metagenome. RNAcentral describes it as "bacterial LSU rRNA". It matches the Rfam family "Bacterial large subunit ribosomal RNA", at positions 418 to 2925 of the family's 2925-position model. The record is from RNAcentral.
CGGGACACGAGAAAUCCUGUCUGAAUAUGGGGGGACCAUCCUCCAAGGCUAAAUACUCGUAAUCGACCGAUAGUGAACCAGUACCGUGAGGGAAAGGCGAAAAGAACCCCGGGAGGGGAGUGAAAUAGAUCCUGAAACCGCAUGCUUACAAAAAGUAGGAGCCUCGAAAGGGGUGACUGCGUACCUUUUGUAUAAUGGGUCAGCGACUUACAUUCAGUGGCAAGGUUAACCGAAUAGGGAAGCCGUAGAGAAAUCGAGUCCGAAUAGGGCGAUCAGUCGCUGGGUGUAGACCCGAAACCAAGUGAUCUAUCCAUGGCCAGGAUGAAGGUGCCGUAACAGGUACUGGAGGUCCGAACCGACUAGUGUUGCAAAACUAGCGGAUGAGCUGUGGAUAGGGGUGAAAGGCUAAACAAACUUGGAAAUAGCUGGUUCUCUCCGAAAACUAUUUAGGUAGUGCCUCAAGUAUUACCGACGGGGGUAGAGCACUGUUUUGGCUAGGGGGUCAUGGCGACUUACCAAACCAAGGCAAACUCCGAAUACCGUCGAGUACAGCUUGGGAGACAGAGCACCGGGUGCUAACGUCCGGACUCAAGAGGGAAACAACCCAGACCGCCAGCUAAGGUCCCUAAAAUUGGCUAAGUGGGAAACGAAGUGGGAAGGCUAAAACAGUCAGGAUGUUGGCUUAGAAGCAGCCAUCAUUUAAAGAAAGCGUAAUAGCUCACUGAUCGAGUCGUCCUGCGCGGAAGAUGUAACGGGGCUAAGCCAGUUACCGAAGCUGCGGAUUUGCAAUUUAUUGCAAGUGGUAGGAGAGCGUUCUGUAAGCCUGUGAAGGUGUCUUGUGAAGGAUGCUGGAGGUAUCAGAAGUGCGAAUGCUGACAUGAGUAGCGUUAAAGGGGGUGAAAAGCCCCCUCGCCGUAAGCGCAAGGUUUUCUACGCAACGUUCAUCGGCGUAGAGUGAGUCGGCCCCUAAGGCGAGGCAGAGAUGCGUAGCUGAUGGGAAACAGGUCAAUAUUCCUGUACCGAUGUGUAGUGCGAUGUGGGGACGGAGAAGGUUAGCUCAGCCAACUGUUGGAUAUGUUGGUUCAAGCCUGUAGUCGUGCCUGGUAGGCAAAUCCGCCGGGCUUAGAUGAGGGGUGAUAAGGAGUCUGCUUGCAGACGAACUGAGUGAUACCCUGCUUCCAGGAAAAGCCACUAAGCUUCAGCUUGUAACGACCGUACCGCAAACCGACACUGGUGCGCGAGAUGAGUAUUCUAAGGCGCUUGAGAGAACUCUGGAGAAGGAACUCGGCAAAUUGAUACCGUAACUUCGGGAGAAGGUAUGCCCCUAGUAGGUGAACUCGUACAGAGGGAGCCCAAUGGGGUUGCAAAAAAUCGGUGGCUGCGACUGUUUAAUAAAAACACAGCACUCUGCAAACACGAAAGUGGACGUAUAGGGUGUGACGCCUGCCCGGUGCUGGAAGAUUAAAUGAUGGGGUGCAAGCUCUUGAUUGAAGUCCCAGUAAACGGCGGCCGUAACUAUAACGGUCCUAAGGUAGCGAAAUUCCUUGUCGGGUAAGUUCCGACCUGCACGAAUGGCGUAACGAUGGCCACACUGUCUCCUCCAGAGACUCAGCGAAGUUGAAAUGUUUGUGAUGAUGCAAUCUCCCCGCGGAAAGACGGAAAGACCCCAUGAACCUUUACUGUAGCUUUGUAUUGGACUUUGAACAGAUCUGUGUAGGAUAGGUGGGAGGCUUUGAAGCCGGGACGCUAGUCUCGGUGGAGCCAACGUUGAAAUACCACCCUGGUGUGUUUGAGGUUCUAACCUAGGUCCAUUAUCUGGAUCGGGGACAGUGCAUGGUAGGCAGUUUGACUGGGGCGGUCUCCUCCCAAAGUGUAACGGAGGAGUUCGAAGGUACGCUAGUUACGGUCGGACAUCGUGAUAAUAGUGCAAUGGCAUAAGCGUGCUUAACUGCGAGACUGACAAGUCGAGCAGAUGCGAAAGCAGGACAUAGUGAUCCGGUGGUUCUGUAUGGAAGGGCCAUCGCUCAACGGAUAAAAGGUACUCUGGGGAUAACAGGCUGAUACCGCCCAAGAGUUCAUAUCGACGGCGGUGUUUGGCACCUCGAUGUCGGCUCAUCUCAUCCUGGGGCUGAAGCAGGUCCCAAGGGUAUGGCUGUUCGCCAUUUAAAGAGGUACGCGAGCUGGGUUUAGAACGUCGUGAGACAGUUCGGUCCCUAUCUACCGUGGGCGUUGGAAAUUUGAGAGGAUCUGCUCCUAGUACGAGAGGACCAGAGUGGACGAACCUCUGGUGUACCGGUUGUGACGCCAGUCGCAUCGCCGGGUAGCUAUGUUCGGAAGGGAUAACCGCUGAAAGCAUCUAAGCGGGAAGCCUACCUCAAGAUAAGAUUUCCCUAGGACUUUAUGUCCUCUAAAGAGCCGUUGAAGACUACGACGUUGAUAGGUUGGAUGUGGAAGCAUAGUGAUAUGUGAAGCUGACCAAUACUAAUUGCUCGUGAGGCUUGAUCCU